RNAcentral lists this transfer RNA (81 nucleotides) under Crassvirales sp. RNAcentral describes it as "tRNA-Ser". It matches the Rfam family "tRNA". Rfam says of the family: Transfer RNA (tRNA) molecules are approximately 80 nucleotides in length. Their secondary structure includes four short double-helical elements and three loops (D, anti-codon, and T loops). Further hydrogen bonds mediate the characteristic L-shaped molecular structure. tRNAs have two regions of fundamental functional importance: the anti-codon, which is responsible for specific mRNA codon recognition, and the 3' end, to which the tRNAs corresponding amino acid is attached (by aminoacyl-tRNA synthetases). tRNAs cope with the degeneracy of the genetic code in two manners: having more than one tRNA (with a specific anti-codon) for a particular amino acid; and 'wobble' base-pairing, i.e. permitting non-standard base-pairing at the 3rd anti-codon position. The record is from RNAcentral. Lineage: Duplodnaviria; Heunggongvirae; Uroviricota; Caudoviricetes; Crassvirales.
UUCUGUGUAGUUUAAGUGUCUAACACAUGGUAGAAUCCCCUGCUAAGGGCGAAUGCAGGUUCAAAUCCUGCCACAGAAUCA